GCAGCCGCUGCCGCCUAUUCCGGAUCUCAUUGCCGCGUGUCCCGGACGACCGCCUGACGUGCAUUCCCGAUUCCUUUUGGUUCCAAGUCCAAUAUGGCAACUCUCAAGGAUCAGCUGAUUCAUAAUCUUCUAAAGGAAGAACAGACUCCCCAGAAUAAGAUUACAGUUGUUGGGGUUGGUGCUGUUGGCAUGGCCUGUGCCAUCAGUGUCUUAAUGAAGGACUUGGCAGAUGAACUUGCUCUUGUUGAUGUCAUCGAAGACAAAUUGAAGGGAGAGAUGAUGGAUCUCCAACAUGGCAGCCUUUUCCUUAGAACACCAAAGAUUGUCUCUGGGAAAGACUAUAGUGUAACUGCAAACUCCAAGCUGGUCAUUAUCACUGCUGGGGCACGUCAACAGAGGGAGAAAGCCGUCUUAAUUUGGUCCAGCGUAACGUGAACAUCUUUAAAUUCAUCGUUCCUAAUGUUGUAAAAUACAGCCCGAACUGCAAGUUGCUUAUUGUUUCAAAUCCAGUGGAUAUCUUGACCUACGUGGCUUGGAAGAUAAGUGGUUUUCCCAAAAACCGUGUUAUUGGAAGUGGUUGCAAUCUGGAUUCGGCCAGAUUCCGUUACCUGAUGGGGGAAAGACUGGGAGUUCACCCAUUAAGCUGUCAUGGGUGGGUCCUUGGGGAACAUGGAGAUUCCAGUGUGCCUGUAUGGAGUGGAAUGAAUGUUGCUGGUAUCUCCCUGAAGACUCUGCACCCAGAUUUAGGGACUGAUAAAGAUAAGGAACAGUGGAAAGAGGUUCACAAGCAGGUGGUUGAGAGUGUUUAUGAGGUGAUCAAACUCAAAGGCUAUACAUCCUGGGCCAUUGGACUCUCUGUAGCAGAUUUGGCAGAGAGUAUAAUGAAGAAUCUUAGGCGAGUGCACCCAGUUUCCACCAUGAUUAAGGGUCUCUAUGGAAUAAAGGAUGAUGUCUUCCUUAGUGUUCCUUGCAUUUUGGGACAGAAUGAAAUCUCAGACCUUGUGAAGGUGACUCUGACUCCUGAGGAAGAGGCCCGUUUGAAGAAAAGUGCAGAUACACUUUGGGGAAUCCAAAAAGAGCUUCAAUUUUAAAGUCUUCUGAUAUCAUAGCAUUUUACUGUCUAGGAUACAACAGGAUUCUAGUUGGAGGUUGUGCAUGUCCUUUUUAUCUGAUCUGUGAUUAAAGCAGUAAUAUUUUA
Molecule: RNA transcript, 1198 nt
Organism: Piliocolobus tephrosceles (Ugandan red Colobus)
Lineage: Eukaryota; Metazoa; Chordata; Mammalia; Primates; Cercopithecidae
Gene name: L-lactate dehydrogenase A chain-like
Exons: 1
Source: RefSeq, a predicted model, not a curated record